Molecule: non-coding RNA, 458 nt
Organism: Kogia breviceps (pygmy sperm whale)
Lineage: Eukaryota; Metazoa; Chordata; Mammalia; Artiodactyla; Physeteridae
Source: RefSeq, a predicted model, not a curated record
CUUUGCAAUUAAAAACAGGUUUGGCUUCCCUCUGCAUCAAUAAGGCAACGUCAAAGCAACAUUCAUCCCGAAAAUGUUCCCUUGUGAAUUCAAAUUAACUGAUGCAUUCAACUGUUAGAUCCCACGAUGUUGGGAGAAAUCACUACUUUGCAGCUAAAAUCCUUCCCCUCACUGUGCAAUGAAGAGCUUAGAAGGAUCCUAUGAAAGUCAAUCCCAGCUGCAGUGAAAUCACCCAAUUUCUACAAGGAUAUUAAAUAUAGUUCCCUGUGCUAUACAGUAGGACCUUGUUGUUUAUCCAUCCUAUAUAUAAUAAUGUGCAGAGAGGCUUUCAAGAUGGCAGAAGAAUAAGACAUGGAGAUCACCUCCUUCCCCACAAAUACAUCAGAAUUACAUCUACAUGUGGAACAACUCCUACAGCACACCUACUGAACGCUGGCAGAAGACCUCAGACCUCCCAA